UAACUCUACCUCUUCAAAGGAGGAUCUCCCUACAAAAGUAGAAGGAUUUAGUCUUUUAUACCUUUCUAUGUAGCCUGGGUCCAUCAUGAGAGGAGUUGGGUCCCGUGGAUAAGGGACAGGCUGGGCUGAGGAUGGACUGGAUGGCCCUACAGUGGUACUUGAUGAUACGGUGAAGGAACUAGAUUAUACUGUGGUGGUGUCGGGUGACGCGGUGGCUGGGGCACCGAAUCAUACUGUGGUGGUACCGGGUGGUACUGUAGAGGAGUAAAGUCAUAUCGAGGUGGCUCGGGAUCUUACUACUACAGGGAUGGCUCAACUCGUGGCAACGGGGGAGGGUCAUGUAGCUCCCUUCUUUCCUCUCGGGCUUGCUGGGUAGCAAUAAGUCUUUCCACCAUCUCAAAUAAGUGGUCAACAUUCUCUCUAAGCAAACCCUCCCGGGCUGCUCAGUUUAGUAGGGGUCUUCCUCUCCUCAUAUAUCUGUACCUGCAUUUCACAAAGAAAUGUUGAGUGACAAUUCAUUGUUUUCAGUGUUUCC
Molecule: long non-coding RNA, 535 nt
Filed under: Carica papaya (papaya)
Lineage: Eukaryota; Viridiplantae; Streptophyta; Magnoliopsida; Brassicales; Caricaceae
Description: long non-coding RNA (CPAP_LNC016132)
Source: RNAcentral